RNAcentral lists this long non-coding RNA (478 nucleotides) under Elaeis guineensis (African oil palm). RNAcentral's name for it is "long non-coding RNA (EGUI_LNC044024)". The record is from RNAcentral. Lineage: Eukaryota; Viridiplantae; Streptophyta; Magnoliopsida; Arecales; Arecaceae.
UGGCCAAAGACUUUCAUAAUCAUCGACCUAUGAAAUCACAUAGGAUGUCCUCUCUCCUUAUUAUCACUCACAACCUCUAUACACACUUCACCACAUCCAGAACACCCUACAUAAGAAUCAAAGAAUCAAGUUAGGAAGUGAACUAAAAUAUGGAUUCAUGUACACAAAGUACCAUGGCAAUCUCAAGUCAAAGGAUUACUUACACAACUCUCACUAGAGAAUGAUCAGCUGACAUAUAAAUAAAACUCUAUCAGAUGUUCUCUCUUAGGUCUAUUCAGUGAAUUCAUUCUCUAAUAAGUAUCCACAUCCUUGUAUUAGUGUUACCAUAUAAGUGGUUGUGAGAUCAACUACCCUCAUCAUUGAGCAUAUAUAGGACAUGCCAGUCUUAUCGGUAUCAUUGAUCUCCGACUCAAUAAACUAAUGACUGAGAAUAUUUUAGAUCAUGGCUAUCCAAAAUUUAGGUCUCGCUGAUGUGAUC